AAUUUAAGCAUAUCACUAAGCGGAGGAAAAGAAACUAACCAGGAUUCCCUUAGUAACGGCGAGUGAACAGGGAAAAGCCCAGCACCGAAGCCUGUGGCCGUUUGGCCUCUAGGCAAUGUGGUGUUCAGGUCUGCUCGCGGAGAUGCCGCUCCACCCUAAGUCCUGUAAUGAGUAAGGUUACUCGGACGUGGCCCAUAGAGGGUGAAAGGCCCGUGGGGGUGGAGGCGCAGUUUGGUCGGUGUCUCUAUGAGCGGACCUUGGAGUCGGGUUGUUUGUGAAUGCAGCCCAAAGUGGGUGGUAAACUCCAUCCAAGGCUAAAUACUGGCACGAGUCCGAUAGCGAACAAGUACCGUGAGGGAAAGUUGAAAAGUACUUUGAAGAGAGAGUAAACAGUGCGUGAAACCGCUCAAAGGUAAACGGGUGGAGUUGAACUGCAAGCUCCGGGAAUUCAACUGGUGAGUAUGGUGUGAGCUUGGCACACGGUUGUACGUCUGGGUCUGCUUAGCUGCAGGUCCCUGCCUUUGGUGGGGAUGCGCGUAUCACUUAUCAUGUGUUGUGCGCCCGGCCCGUGUCGAACUAUCUCGCCAGUGCACUUUCUCGGAGUAGUCACCACGACCGGCGUUGCUGUCUUGCUGUUGCGGUUAAACCGGCCUUGUAGGGUCCAUGUGAUCUUGCUUGGUCGGGACGGCAGGUAGCCCGUUGUGUACUUUUGUGCGCCUCGGGUGUAAUAGCUGACUGCAUCAGUUUUGUACGGUACGUCGGAGACGGCGGCUUGUAGUGCGUGCGAUCGCGCCCAGUACGCUGGCGGCGCUGAGUCUGGUCUGUCAUGUUGCUUGUGAACGCAGGCCUGGCGAUGGCUCGGUGUCGUUCGGUGUGCGGUUGCGUACGUGGCACUUUAAAGGGCCAACAGUCUGUGGUGUAGUGGUAGACUAUCCACCUGACCCGUCUUGAAACACGGACCAAGGAGAGUAACAUGUGC
Molecule: ribosomal RNA, 979 nt
Filed under: Echinochasmidae sp. 1 SB-2020
Lineage: Eukaryota; Metazoa; Platyhelminthes; Trematoda; Plagiorchiida; Echinochasmidae
Description: partial large subunit ribosomal RNA
Rfam family: Eukaryotic large subunit ribosomal RNA
Source: RNAcentral